GCGCGAUUGGUGGAAUUGGUAGACACGCAGCGUUGAGGUCGCUGUGCCGCAAGGCGUGCGAGUUCGAGUCUCGUGUUGCGCACCA
Molecule: transfer RNA, 85 nt
Filed under: Chitinibacter fontanus
Lineage: Bacteria; Pseudomonadati; Pseudomonadota; Betaproteobacteria; Neisseriales; Chitinibacteraceae
Also listed under: 5 other names
Description: tRNA-Leu
Rfam family: tRNA
About the family: Transfer RNA (tRNA) molecules are approximately 80 nucleotides in length. Their secondary structure includes four short double-helical elements and three loops (D, anti-codon, and T loops). Further hydrogen bonds mediate the characteristic L-shaped molecular structure. tRNAs have two regions of fundamental functional importance: the anti-codon, which is responsible for specific mRNA codon recognition, and the 3' end, to which the tRNAs corresponding amino acid is attached (by aminoacyl-tRNA synthetases). tRNAs cope with the degeneracy of the genetic code in two manners: having more than one tRNA (with a specific anti-codon) for a particular amino acid; and 'wobble' base-pairing, i.e. permitting non-standard base-pairing at the 3rd anti-codon position.
Source: RNAcentral